UACGUAGGGUGCGAGCGUUAAUCGGAAUUACUGGGCGUAAAGCGUGCGCAGGCGGUUUUGUAAGCCAGAUGUGAAAUCCCCGGGCUCAACCUGGGAACUGCAUUUGUGACUGCAUCGCUGGAGUGCGGCAGAGGGGGAUGGAAUUCCGCGUGUAGCAGUGAAAUGCGUAGAGAUGUGGAGGAACACCAAUGGCGAAGGCAGCCUUCUGGGCCAACACAGACGCUCAUGCACGAAAGCGUGGGGAGCAAACAGG
RNAcentral lists this ribosomal RNA (253 nucleotides) under uncultured bacterium. Its description in RNAcentral is "partial 16S ribosomal RNA". It matches the Rfam family "Bacterial small subunit ribosomal RNA", at positions 524 to 776 of the family's 1533-position model. The record is from RNAcentral.